RNAcentral lists this ribosomal RNA (1630 nucleotides) under Mediterraneibacter torques. Its description in RNAcentral is "[Ruminococcus] torques partial 23S ribosomal RNA". It matches the Rfam family "Bacterial large subunit ribosomal RNA", at positions 1227 to 2878 of the family's 2925-position model. Lineage: Bacteria; Bacillati; Bacillota; Clostridia; Lachnospirales; Lachnospiraceae. The record is from RNAcentral.
GGUAGAGGAGCAUUCUUAAAGAGACGAAGCUGUACCGAAAGGAGCAGUGGAUUUUUAAGAAGAGAGAAUGCCGGAAUGAGUAGCGAGAAAGAGGUGAGAAUCCUCUUGGCCGAAUAUCUAAGGUUUCCAGGGUAAAGCUGAUCUGCCCUGGGUAAGUCGGGGCCUAAGGCGAGGUCGAAAGACGUAGUCGAUGGAUAACAGGUUGAAAUUCCUGUACUAUCCUGUAACAGAACUGUGGGGACGCAGACAGAGAGCACAAGCCGGGAAUGGAAAGACCGGUGCAAGCGAGGUAGGAGUACAUCAGGCAAAUCCGGUGUGCAAUCCGAAGACGUGAUGCGGAUCGAAAAGAAGUAGAGAAGUGUGUGAGCUGGCUGCCAAGAAAAGCCGCUAUUGUUUACAGGAUACCCGUACCGUAAACCGACACAGGUGGAUGAGGAGAGAAUCCUAAGGCCGACGGGAGAAGCAUUGUUAAGGAACUCGGCAAAAUGACUCCGUAACUUCGGGAGAAGGAGUGCCAUGCGAAUGGCCGCAGAGAAUUGGCCCAAGCAACUGUUUAGCAAAAACACAGGUCUAUGCGAAACCGAAAGGUGAGGUAUAUGGGCUGACGCCUGCCCGGUGCUGGAAGGUUAAGGGGAGAGGUUAGCGCAAGCGAAGCUUUGAACUUAAGCCCCAGUAAACGGCGGCCGUAACUAUAACGGUCCUAAGGUAGCGAAAUUCCUUGUCGGGUAAGUUCCGACCCGCACGAAAGGCGUAAUGAUUUGGGCACUGUCUCAACAAUGCACCCGGUGAAAUUGAAAUACCAGUGAAGAUGCUGGUUACCUGCGCCAGGACGGAAAGACCCCAUGGAGCUUUACUCUAGCUUGAUACUGGGAUUCGAUAUUGCAUGUACAGGAUAGGUGGGAGACUAGGAAGUGGUGACGCCAGUUGCCAUGGAGUCAAUGUUGGGAUACCACCCUUGCAGUAUUGGGUUUCUAACCAGCAGCCGUGAUCCGGCUGGGGGACAAUGUCAGGUGGGGAGUUUGACUGGGGCGGUCGCCUCCGAAAGGGUAUCGGAGGCGCUCAAAGGUUCCCUCAGAAUGGUUGGAAACCAUUCGAAGAGUGCAAAGGCAGAAGGGAGCUUGACUGCGACACCGACGGGUGGAGCAGGUACGAAAGUAGGACUUAGUGAUCCGGUGGUAUAAAGUGGGAUUGCCAUCGCUCAACGGAUAAAAGCUACCCUGGGGAUAACAGGCUUAUCACUCCCAAGAGUUCACAUCGACGGAGUGGUUUGGCACCUCGAUGUCGGCUCAUCGCAUCCUGGGGCUGUAGUCGGUCCCAAGGGUUGGGCUGUUCGCCCAUUAAAGCGGUACGCGAGCUGGGUUCAGAACGUCGUGAGACAGUUCGGUCCCUAUCCGGCGUGGGCGUAGGAUAUUUGAGAGGAGCUGCCCUUAGUACGAGAGGACCGGGGUGGACUGGCCGCUGGUGUAUCUGUUGUAUUACCAAGUGCAUAGCAGAGUAGCCAAGCCGGGAAGGGAUAAACGCUGAAGGCAUCUAAGCGUGAAGCCCCCCUCAAGAUGAGAUAUCCCAUAACGUCAAGUUAGUAAGACCCCUUGAAGACGACGAGGUAGAUAGGGCAGAGGUGGAAGUGUGG